Molecule: ribosomal RNA, 255 nt
Filed under: uncultured prokaryote
Description: partial 16S ribosomal RNA
Rfam family: Bacterial small subunit ribosomal RNA
Source: RNAcentral
UACGGAGGAUGCGAGCGUUAUCCGGAUUUAUUGGGUUUAAAGGGUGCGUAGGCGGCUUAGUAAGUCAGCGGUGAAAUUUUGCAGCUUAACUGUAACAGUGCCGUUGAUACUGCCAGGCUAGGAUUUGGUUGCUGUGGGUGGAAUGUGUGGUGUAGCGGUGAAAUGCUUAGAUAUCACACAGAAUAUCAAUUGCGAAGGCAGCUCACAAAGCCAAGAUUGACGCUGAGGCACGAAAGUGUGGGGAGUCAAACAGGA